GAAAUGCGAUACGUAAUGCGAAUUGCAGAAUUCAGUGAAUCAUCAAAUCUUUGAACGCAAAUUGCGCUUCUGGGUAGCCCUAGGAGCACGCCUCUCUCAGUAUCGGUUCAACCAUCUCUCAGCAGCGUGUUUGCAAAAUUUAUUUUUUGUUUAUUCGUGUUGGCUGGAUAAUGAGAGUC
This 179-nucleotide unclassified non-coding RNA is filed under the name uncultured fungus. Its description in RNAcentral is "sequence contains ITS1". The stretch from base 1 to 105 matches the Rfam family "5.8S ribosomal RNA", at positions 50 to 154 of the family's 154-position model. From Rfam's summary of the family: 5.8S ribosomal RNA (5.8S rRNA) is a component of the large subunit of the eukaryotic ribosome. It is transcribed by RNA polymerase I as part of the 45S precursor that also contains 18S and 28S rRNA. The record is from RNAcentral. Lineage: Eukaryota; Fungi.